Lathyrus oleraceus (garden pea) is the source of this 965-nucleotide long non-coding RNA. RefSeq lists it as uncharacterized. The record is from RefSeq and is a predicted model, not a curated record. The transcript has 2 exons. Lineage: Eukaryota; Viridiplantae; Streptophyta; Magnoliopsida; Fabales; Fabaceae.
UAAGGUGCUGCUAACAAGUUUGGGCCGAAGGCCCACAUUCUUCCAAGAAAUUCCAAGAAUCGGGUCAAAAAGGUCCAAAAUCCAUGUCCAUGUCGCAAUGCCUUCAACUCCGGAAAUCUUCAAAUGGAUUACGGCGAGAUGGAAGGAAGUGUGCCGCGCUCCAACCACACGCCUCUGCCGUCACCGCGUCAUCGCCGGAAAAGAGAGAUUCACUCCGAUACGUCUUACGUGUUGGCCGUUGUUGUUGUCCAAUUCCAGGUUGUUGCAUCGCGGUGGCGGAUGAUGAAGCGAGACAGACAAACGCGACGGAGCAGCAACAAAACACGACGAACGCGACGAGUUCAACGGCGAAUACACGAAUUCGCCAUUCAAAUGUGAAAUCCACGUCUACCUUCAAUCAUGGUUCAACUUUACCCGCGCAGAAAAAAUAGAAGCAAGAACUCACCGAUCUGAGUCGCCAACAGGUCGUUUGGUUACGAAGGAGGGGCUUUUAAAAGUAUUCAAUUCGCUGUAACACCUUAUGAAAGAAUUUUGUGAAGAUGGCGGGUUGUAUUUGCAGGUUUAGGCUAAAUUGGAGGGUUAUUGGGGUUGGUUUUUGGAGAAGUUUCAUUGAGGUUCGAAGGGAGGGGUUGUCGAUUCUGGAAAAUGGUCGGUUCAGUAUGACUCAUUAGCUUGCUUUAGGUUUUGAUAGGUGAAUUGGCGCAGUUGAUCGGCUUGUGCCGCCAUAAUGUUGCAAGCAAACGUGAAGUCUUUGGAAGCGCAAUGUGGAGGUGACGAUUGCAAAGGCAAAUCCAAGACGAGCCGAUAGCUUCACAUCCUCUUCUUCUUUUUAAUUUGUAAUUGUGUAACUGGAUUAGAUCCGCAUGCUUGUAUUCAUGUUUUAUGCUAUGCCAAGGCUCAUGUGGAUCCAUGACUUAAUGUGAUGCAAAUAUUUUAUGACUAAUGCAAAUCCUGUUUUUCAUUCA